AUUGAACGCUGGCGGCAUGCCUUACACAUGCAAGUCGAACGGCAGCGGGGGAGAAGCUUGCUUUUCCUGCCGGCGAGUGGCGAACGGGUGAGUAAUACAUCGGAACGUGUCCAGUCGUGGGGGAUAACGUAGCGAAAGCUACGCUAAUACCGCAUACGAACUAAGGAUGAAACCGGGGGACCGCAAGCCCUCCCUCGAUUGGAGCGGCCGAUGGGAGAUUAGGUAGUUGGUGGGGUAAAGGCCUACCAAGCCGACGAUCUGUAGCUGGUCUGAGAGGAUGAUCAGCCACACUGGGACUGAGACACGGCCCAGACUCCUACGGGAGGCAGCAGUGGGGAAUUUUGGACAAUGGGCGCAAGCCUGAUCCAGCCAUUCCGCGUGCAGGAUGAAGGCCUUCGGGUUGUAAACUGCUUUUGUACAGAACGAAAAGGCUCUGGUUAAUACCCGGGGCUCAUGACGGUACUGUAAGAAUAAGCACCGGCUAACUACGUGCCAGCCGCCGCGGUAA
This 508-nucleotide ribosomal RNA is filed under the name uncultured bacterium. Its description in RNAcentral is "partial 16S ribosomal RNA". It matches the Rfam family "Bacterial small subunit ribosomal RNA", at positions 30 to 523 of the family's 1533-position model. The record is from RNAcentral.